CUGAACGGCUUGAAGGGCACG
This 21-nucleotide microRNA is filed under the name Populus trichocarpa (black cottonwood). RNAcentral's name for it is "ptc-miR6442". The record is from miRBase by way of RNAcentral. Lineage: Eukaryota; Viridiplantae; Streptophyta; Magnoliopsida; Malpighiales; Salicaceae.